UGAAAUCAUGAAAGUCACCUUCUUAACUGGAAAAACCAAUAUGGGUCUGAUGAUAUCUCUCUUUCUUUCUUCAUCUUCUCGUCCGUAUUGGUCUUGUUCUUCUUGCCUCUUGUUUUCUCGGAUGGUUUGAUCUUGAUCGUCCCUUGAUCCAUGGAAACCCUAAACUUAGGACGCAGGGAUGAGUUUAUGGUUUGAUGAAGAUAGUAAUAUCAUCAUUGAUAUUUGAUUCGAUGAAAAUGAUAAAGUGUGAGUCAGUGGUGUUAUUAGAGUGUGAUUAUUUUAGAAACGUGGGUUUGAUUUGUUAUUUUUACCCUUUCAUCUUUUAUUCUUCAGUAAAUUUGGAGAAUGUAAAAAAAAAAAAAAAAAAAAUUUGGAGAAUGUAGAGAUUUUUAUUUUGGAGAAACAUAGAAUUAUCGAAAUGCAUAAUGAUUUUUGAAAAUUUCAAACUUUAACUAGAUAAAUACCCGACCUAAUAUUUAAUAAUUUGGUUUUUUAGUUGCAGCUACUCAUCGGAGUUCUGGACUGUCCUCGCUAAACAACUACUCCAACGCCACUUCUCCACGACCUAGCAAGAAGUAGUCAACAACGUUAUGAGGAUUUCAUCCAAAC
Molecule: long non-coding RNA, 609 nt
Filed under: Capsella rubella
Lineage: Eukaryota; Viridiplantae; Streptophyta; Magnoliopsida; Brassicales; Brassicaceae
Description: long non-coding RNA (CRUB_LNC002656)
Source: RNAcentral